RNAcentral lists this unclassified non-coding RNA (179 nucleotides) under uncultured fungus. Its description in RNAcentral is "sequence contains ITS1". Lineage: Eukaryota; Fungi. The record is from RNAcentral.
UUGAUUUAUUUGUUAUUGUACUCAGAAGUUACACUAGAAACAGAGUCUGGGGGUCCUCUGGCGGGCCGCCCCGUCUUACCGGGCGCGGGCCAAUCCGCCGAGGCAACUGUAGGUAUGUUCACAAGGGUUUGGGAGUUGUAAACUCGGUAAUGAUCCCUCCGCUGGUUCACCAACGGAGA